GAUGAAGAACGUAGUGAAAUGCGAUACUUGGUGUGAAUUGCAGAAUCCCGUGAACCAUCGAGUCUUUGAACGCAAGUUGCGCCCGAAGCCAUUAGGCCGAGGGCACGCCUGCCUGGGCGUCACACGUCGUUGCCCCCCCAUCUACUCCUUCGGGAUUGCGGGGGGCGGAUGAUGGCCUCCCGUGCGCCUCGCCGCGCGGUUGGCAUAAAUGCCAAGUCCUCGGCGACGCACGCCACGACAAUCGGUGGUUGCGAAACCUCGGUUGCCCGUCGUGUGCGGUCGUCGCGCAUCGAGGGCUCGAAAAAAUUGCCGGGUUCCGGCUCGGCUUUCAACGCGACCCCAGGUCAGGCGGGGUUACCCGCUGAAUUUAAGCAUAUCAAUAAGCGGAGG
This 390-nucleotide unclassified non-coding RNA is filed under the name soil metagenome. RNAcentral describes it as "partial contains 5.8S ribosomal RNA, internal transcribed spacer 2, and large subunit ribosomal RNA". The stretch from base 1 to 122 matches the Rfam family "5.8S ribosomal RNA", at positions 35 to 154 of the family's 154-position model. The record is from RNAcentral.